GGCAGCAGUAGGGAAUCUUCGGCAAUGGGCGAAAGCCUGACCGAGCAACGCCGCGUGAAUGAUGAAGGCCUUCGGGUUGUAAAAUUCUGUUAUAAGGGAAGAACGACUUUAGUAGGAAAUGGCUAGAGUGUGACGGUACCUUAUGAGAAAGCCACGGCUAACUACGUGCCAGCAGCCGCGGUAAUACGUAGGUGGCGAGCGUUAUCCGGAAUUAUUGGGCGUAAAGAGCGCGCAGGUGGUUGAUUAAGUCUGAUGUGAAAGCCCACGGCUUAACCGUGGAGGGUCAUUGGAAACUGGUCGACUUGAGUGCAGAAGAGGGAAGUGGAAUUCCAUGUGUAGCGGUGAAAUGCGUAGAGAUAUGGAGGAACACCAGUGGCGAAGGCGGCUUCCUGGUCUGUAACUGACACUGAGGCGCGAAAGCGUGGGGAGCAAACAGGAUUAGAUACCCUGGUAGUCCACGCCGUAAACGAUGAGUACUAAGUGU
RNAcentral lists this ribosomal RNA (484 nucleotides) under uncultured Bacillota bacterium. RNAcentral's name for it is "bacterial SSU rRNA". It matches the Rfam family "Bacterial small subunit ribosomal RNA", at positions 347 to 823 of the family's 1533-position model. The record is from RNAcentral. Lineage: Bacteria; Bacillati; Bacillota.